AACGAACGCUGGCGGCAUGCCUAACACAUGCAAGUCGAACGAGACCUUCGGGUCUAGUGGCGCACGGGUGCGUAACGCGUGGGAACCUGCCCUUAGGUUCGGAAUAACUCCCCGAAAGGGGUGCUAAUACCGGAUAAUGUCUUCGGACCAAAGAUUUAGCGCCUUUGGAUGGGCCCGGGUUGGAUUAGCCAGUUGGUAGGGUAAAAGCCUACCAUGGCGACGAUGGGUAGCUGGUCUGAGAGGAUGAUCGGCCACACUGGGACUGAGACACGGCGCAGACUCGGACGGGAGGCAGCAGGGGGGAAUGUUGAAGAAUGGGGGGAAGCCUGAUGCAGAAACGCCGCGUGCGGGAUGACGGACUUAGGGUGGUAAACCGCUUGCGCCGGUGACGAAGCGGGAGUGACGGUAAUGGGUAAAGAAGCACCGGCUAACUACGUG
Molecule: ribosomal RNA, 438 nt
Filed under: uncultured bacterium
Lineage: Bacteria
Description: partial 16S ribosomal RNA
Rfam family: Bacterial small subunit ribosomal RNA
Source: RNAcentral